UAAAAUUGAAAGUAGAUUACAUCAUACAAAUGGAGUAUGAAGCACAUCAUGUAAGAGCCAUUUUCGCCCAUUGUGCAUUAUGAGUUGGUAGGUUCUUACUCCUAGGACUUUUUCAUGUGCUCCGUUCAAAAUCAUGACAAAGUGUCUACUUGUUGGUAAACGAUGGUAAUCUAUAUAUCCUGCACAGUUGCAAGUUAUGUGCUUGGUUGCUCCUGCAUCUACAAUCCACCCAAGGAGAGAAUGAGAUAUAAACACAUGAGAACAUACAUAACUUCUAAAAUGGUUUAAAGGACGAAAAUGGUUUAAAGGACGAACAUUCUUAGGCUUACUGCACUCUAAAGCAAAAUGUCCCUUCUUACCACAAUUAAAGCAUUUCAACUUGGACUUAUCUUUUUUCCCACUAUGCUUGCCUCUUUGGCACUUGGUGACUCCAUUACUUUUGGGCCUUAAUGUCACGACCCGGUACUCUCCUCGAGCCCAUGACAACCGU
This 490-nucleotide long non-coding RNA is filed under the name Theobroma cacao (cacao). RNAcentral describes it as "long non-coding RNA (TCAC_LNC006343)". Lineage: Eukaryota; Viridiplantae; Streptophyta; Magnoliopsida; Malvales; Malvaceae. The record is from RNAcentral.